This 484-nucleotide ribosomal RNA is filed under the name uncultured bacterium. RNAcentral's name for it is "partial 16S ribosomal RNA". It matches the Rfam family "Bacterial small subunit ribosomal RNA", at positions 30 to 507 of the family's 1533-position model. The record is from RNAcentral.
AUUGAACGCUGGCGGCAGGCCUAACACAUGCAAGUCGAGCGGAUGAAGGGAGCUUGCUCCUGGAUUCAGCGGCGGACGGGUGAGUAAUGCCUAGGAAUCUGCCUGGUAGUGGGGGAUAACGUCCGGAAACGGGCGCUAAUACCGCAUACGUCCUGAGGGAGAAAGUGGGGGAUCUUCGGACCUCACGCUAUCAGAUGAGCCUAGGUCGGAUUAGCUAGUUGGUGGGGUAAAGGCCUACCAAGGCGACGAUCCGUAACUGGUCUGAGAGUAUGAUCAGUCACACUGGAACUGAGACACGGUCCAGACUCCUACGGGAGGCAGCAGUGGGGAAUAUUGGACAAUGGGCGAAAGCCUGAUCCAGCCAUGCCGCGUGUGUGAAGAAGGUCUUCGGAUUGUAAAGCACUUUAAGUUGGGAGGAAGGGCAGUAAGUUAAUACCUUGCUGUUUUGACGUUACCAACAGAAUAAGCACCGGCUAACUUCGUG